CUGCUCUGUUUCCAGGCUCUGAGAACUCCAGGCAGCAAGGCUGGCCCUAAAACAGUGCUUUACUCCUACUGGAUCCUGUUCCUGCUAGAAAGACAAGGAAUUAUGGAGAAGCUUCCAGAAUUCUCUCACUGAUUGAUUUCUGCAGCAUUCCUGCUUCUGUUUUCCUGACCGGUUCCCAAGCAGCGACGCUCAAAUAGUGAGAGAACAUUGUCACCCUCCAAGAAGAGAGAGAAAAAGAUGAUACACUGCAUGGUAGAUGCUGUCCUCCUAGAAACCCAAGCCAGCACCUCCAUCUAUUCUGACCACUGUGGGGAAUCUCCUUCCUUCUGCCUGCUGAGUGGCCUGGUGACAUAGAGAUGCCCAGCUCUAUCUUAAGCUACUGCUGUUGUCUGAUGCAAGGUUCCUCCUUGGCAGCCUGGCAGAGUGCAGACAACUUAAUCCCCAUCCACCCGCCACCAUUCUUUCCUCCUCUCUUUGUCCCUACCAGCACGACUGUGCUUUAAUCUCUUUCCUCUCCUGCCAACUUGCCCAGGCUGUCCCAGAUGGCCCUUCACCUUAAGCAAACCCAUUUCCAUUGCUGUAUAAGCCUCUUCUCCCCCUUUUACAUGUUAAUUCUCUGAUUCACAGCUGCAGAGUUAGAUAGAAGAAAGAAAGAAAGAAAAAAAUAAACCCAAAAAUGGCAAACAAA
Psammomys obesus (fat sand rat) is the source of this 688-nucleotide long non-coding RNA. RefSeq lists it as uncharacterized. The transcript is spliced from 2 exons. Lineage: Eukaryota; Metazoa; Chordata; Mammalia; Rodentia; Muridae. The record is from RefSeq and is a predicted model, not a curated record.